This 253-nucleotide ribosomal RNA is filed under the name uncultured bacterium. RNAcentral's name for it is "partial 16S ribosomal RNA". It matches the Rfam family "Bacterial small subunit ribosomal RNA", at positions 524 to 776 of the family's 1533-position model. The record is from RNAcentral.
UACGGAGGGGGCUAGCGUUGUUCGGAAUUACUGGGCGUAAAGCGCACGUAGGCGGCUCGUUAAGUCGGGGGUGAAAUCCUGGAGCUCAACUCCAGAACUGCCUUCGAUACUGGCGAUCUCGAGUCCGGAAGAGGUGAGUGGAACUCCUAGUGUAGAGGUGGAAUUCGUAGAUAUUAGGAAGAACACCAGUGGCGAAGGCGACUCACUGGUCCGGUACUGACGCUGAGGUGCGAAAGCGUGGGGAGCAAACAGG